This 184-nucleotide unclassified non-coding RNA is filed under the name rhizosphere metagenome. RNAcentral's name for it is "partial ribosomal RNA internal transcribed spacer region". The record is from RNAcentral.
GAGACUGGGUGCUUCGGGGUAGAUCUCCACCCUUGAAUAACAUACCUUUGUUGCUUUGGCAGGACGCACUCGUGCCAGGGGCUUCGGCUCUUGAGUGCCUGCCAGAGGACCACAACUCUUGUCUUUAGUGAUGUCUGAGUACUAUAUAAUAGUUAAAACUUUCAACAACGGAUCUCUUGGUUCU